AACGAACGCUGGCGGCAGGCCUAACACAUGCAAGUCGAACGCCCUAGCAAUAGGGAGUGGCAGACGGGUGAGUAACACGUGGGAACCUUCCCUAUAGUACGGAAUAUACCAGGGAAACUUGGAGCAAUACCGUAUACGCCCGAGAGGGGAAAGAUUUAUCGCUAUAGGAUGGGCCCGCGUAGGAUUAGCUAGUUGGUGAGGUAAUGGCUCACCAAGGCGACGAUCCUUAGCUGGUUUGAGAGAACGACCAGCCACACUGGGACUGAGACACGGCCCAGACUCCUACGGGAGGCAGCAGUGGGGAAUAUUGGACAAUGGGCGCAAGCCUGAUCCAGCCAUGCCGCGUGAGUGAUGAAGGCCUUAGGGUUGUAAAGCUCUUUUGCCGGGGACGAUAAUGACGGUACCCGGAGAAUAAGUCCCGGCUAACUUCGUGCCAGCCGCCG
Molecule: ribosomal RNA, 443 nt
Filed under: uncultured bacterium
Lineage: Bacteria
Description: bacterial SSU rRNA
Rfam family: Bacterial small subunit ribosomal RNA
Source: RNAcentral